Molecule: long non-coding RNA, 183 nt
Organism: Etheostoma spectabile (orangethroat darter)
Lineage: Eukaryota; Metazoa; Chordata; Actinopteri; Perciformes; Percidae
Exons: 3
Source: RefSeq, a predicted model, not a curated record
UAGGAGCAGCAAAGGCAGCAAGCAGUUAGGAGCAAACUAAAGCAGCUUUGUUAGGGCGCCCUGUUUGAGUGUAGCCAUUUAGCAGCGAGGGGAGUUGACCAGCUGAUGUGCUGAUGCAGAUCAGCUGAUGCAGAUCAGCUGAUGCCACCACGUUGUUGGCCAGUAGCGGUUAGCAGUGUCUUG